Non-coding RNA from Oryctolagus cuniculus (rabbit), 6388 nucleotides. The record is from RefSeq and is a predicted model, not a curated record. Lineage: Eukaryota; Metazoa; Chordata; Mammalia; Lagomorpha; Leporidae.
ACCUGCCAUGUUCCACAGACACUUGAGUUUCCAGCUCCCGGAAUACCGUGAUGCCAAACAAAUUAAAAAAAUGAAAAUGAUCGUCUGUCUCGGGGAGUUUACAGGGGUGAGGAUUAAACUUGACAACCUAUGAGAAUCCCUCGCCUGGGAGCUGGGAGCUGGGAGCGGGCGGCGGGAGGAAGGAGCCGUGAACGCGGUGGGAGGUGAGCUGGCGGGGUUUGAGGAAGUCAGGAGGUCCGGCGAGGACCAGAGGGAGCCUGGAGGGAGAUGGCCGUGGACAGCGGGCUCAGGGGAGGAGCUGGUAUGACAAGGAUGCCACGCGGUUCCUCCAAAGCUCUGGAAAGUUCCGGAAACUUCAGUUGGCACAGCAGCAGUGAGGCAGAGGCCCAGGGAUCCAAGUCGGGAACAAUGUGAAGACCAGCUGUUCCAGCGCUGACUCCGGACUGCCGAGACGGAGCAAAAGGGACCUUCGAUUGGCUGGGUGUCCCUCGAGAGGUUCUUGGGCUGCUCUUACUGGAAUCUGCAACUCUUGUAAAAAGCUGCCUGGGGCAUGACUCACACAGUUGAUGUCCAAACCGCUGCCUCCGCAGCACACCCUGCCCCCCUCCCCCUUCUGCAGCUGCAAUCCGAGAGGCAUCUAUUUCCUCUAGGGAGGGACCCUGGGACCUGGCACCAGCAUCCUGGCCUGGCCGGCUGUCUUUGCACACUGCAGGUAGCCAGAAUUUCCUGGCUUUUGGGGAAAAAAUCAGACAGUGUGAAGACACCAGAGCAGCAUAAGUCACCCCAUCGGUGGACCCAUUUCUAGAAGGAGCAAGAUUCUUGCCCCGUGAGGUGGAAGGAGACAAGGAGAUGGAGGUUCGAAUCCCAGUUCUGCGCAUCUUGAGCCGUGUGGCUAUAGGCGUGGCUUUCCUGAGUUCUCUGAGCUUUAGCUGUCCACCUGCAGCCGUGGGCUGAUUCCCAGCCCAGGGGUGUUAUUGCAGCGUUGGCCGAGAUGGUAGAUGUGCAUUGCUUCCGGGCAGUCUGGCUUAGGCAUGCGCGAACAUUUUGGUUUCCCUCUGUUCUCAGCUUCUGCAUUCCUCAAAGGACACGCAUCAUAGUCAUUUUCAUUUAAGCCUUCAGGAUCUUUACAAAAGGGGCUUAUUUAUCUGUUUAUUUUUAUUUAUUUGAACGCUGGAGAGAGCGAGAGAGGGCAAAAGCAUCUUUCAUCGACUGGUUCACUUCCCAAAUGCCCGUAGCAGCCAAAGUCGGGAGCCUGGAACCCAAUCCAGGUCUCCUACGUGGGAGGCAGGGGCCCAAGGACUUGAGCCAUCACCCACUGCUUCCCAGGGUGCGCAUCUGCAAGGAGCUGGAUGGGACGUGGAGGUGGGAAUGGAUCCCAGACAUUCCUGGACUUGACUCCAGGCGUUCUGAGUGGAGGCGUAAGCUGCUGCCCCACGACGCCCAUUCCAGCUUCAGGAUCCGGCUCAACCACAGGAGGAAUUUGUGUGCACAUGAGGAACCUCAGUGUUUGCAAACUUUGUGCUCCUCGUGGCCCCCCUUCAUCUGGUCACCAUCAAGUCUGAACCAAGCCCCUGCCAGGCUGGGUCAAAGGGCGUGAGGGCUGCAACGCUAUGUGGUUUGGGAAGUCAGAGAUCCAGACCAAUGAGCUGGGGGUGCAGGACGUGGCUGGGCUAAGGGCUCAUGGAAAACGAGGGUGUAUGUGGACCUUGGAUCUGGAGGGUCUGUGAAAAACUGUGGAACUUCUUUAAUUUUUGAAGAUUUAUUUGUUUAUUGGGGAGAGAGAAUGAAAGAGAGAGAGAAUCUUCAAUUCGCUGGUUCACUCCCCAAAUGACUGCAAUGGCUAAGGCUCAUCUGGGUUGAAGCCAGGAGCUCAGAAUUCCACCUGGGUCUCACAGGUGGAUAGCAGGGGCCCAGCUACUUGGGCCACCCUCUGCUGCUUUCCCAGGUGCAUCAGCAGGGAGCUGGUUUGGAACUGGAGCCACCACUCUGACAUGGGAUGCUGCCUCUAUGCUGUGGAACCUCUGAGAAGCCCAGGGAAUGAAAAGUAAAGCAUCCCUAGUGGGGCUGGACAGGUGUGGUGGGGGAAAUGUGUUCCUGGCACACAGGAGAUCCCCAGUAAGUGCUGGGAAUGAAUGCAUUGGAGGAUGGGGGAAGGACCAGGUGAGCGGGCAAACCAGUGGUGGCCUCGGGGGAUGUAGAUGCAUCAGAAAGGACACACUUGGGCCCCUACCCUGCCCGGCUUUCCCACAGCUUCCUCACCAUCCUGCAGGCUCGCUGUCUGCUGAUUCAUUUGUCAUCUGCGUCACCUGCCGGGCGACAAACCCCUCCUGCACAGCGCAGGGACGUGCUUGCCUUCUCCUCCUCCUCCGGUGCCUAGGACAGAGCUUGGCCCAAAGCCGAGCCUCCGCAGGUACUUCUGACUCCAUGAGUGAGUGUGUGCGAGCUGUUACAGGGAUGAAUGGGCUUGAGAAGACCUGGGAGAAAGAUCCACAGUGCUUCUCCACCUGGGGCUGCGAGCAAAGGCAGAGUCCCUGGCCCCGCUCCCGGCGCACAGAGUCGGAGUCUGGGGGAGCUGCCCAGGUGGUUCGGAAGUAGAUUUUUUUUUUUUUUACAAAGUUUUAUUUAUUUAUUUGAAAGAGUUAUAGAGAAAGAGGGAAGGAGAGAGGGAGAGAGAGAGAUUUUCUAUUGGCUGGUUCACUCCCCAAAUGGCUACAACAACCGGGGCUGGGACAGGUCAAAGCCAGGAGCCUGGAACUCCAUCCAAGUCUCCCACGUGGGCGCAGGAGGUCCAAGCACUUAUGGCAUCUUCUGCUGCUUUCCCAGGUGCAUUAGCAGGGAGCUGGAUUGGAAGUGGAGAAGCUGGGACUUGAACCGGCAGCCAUAUAGAAUGCUGGCACUGCAGGUGGCGGCUUUACCCACUGUGCUACAAUUCACAUGUUUCUGUAUCACUUUUGCAUUGAUGUAUUUUAUUUAUUUAUUUUUGACAGGCAGAGCGGACAGUGAGAGAGAGAGAGAGACAGAAAGGUCUUCCUUUUUGCCGUUGGUUCACCUCCAAUGGCCGCCGCGGCCGGCGCAUCGCACUGAUCCAAAUCUAGGAGCCAGGUGCUUCUCCUGGUCUCCCAUGGGGUGCAGGGCCCAAGUACUUGGGCCAUCCUCCACUGCACUCCUGGGCCAUAGCAGACGGCUGGGCUGGCCUGGAAGAGGGGCAACCGGGACAGAAUCCAGCGCCCCGACCGGCACUAGAACCCUGUGUGCUGGCGCUGCAGGUGGAGGACUAGCCUAUUGAGCCACGGUGCCGGCCUGCAUUGAUGUAAAGGAGGACAGAACUCUCUCCAAAAGUCCCAUCUGAAAUUGAUACACCAGCCCUCCCCCAACACGCCCUCCAAAUGUUCCACUUGCUCACACACUAUAAAAGACACCUGCUUUUCACUUUCUCUUGUUCGUUAUCUGAUAGUCUCUGCCCUCCUGUUUCUGACUGAGGCUUUGUGUUGGGACUGCACUUCAGAAAAUAAACAUCAAAGUCGGAGAUGGCAACUUCAGUACUCCAUCUCCCCGGGUGCCAGCUGUCGAUGCUGUAACUCAUUAACCAAAUAACAGCCACAGCUGGGCACCGAGCAAAUGCAUGUGACGCAACAACGAUGAUAAGUGCAAUUGCAGCUCGUUGGAAGUACAGCUCCCAAGUUCCUCUCUCCGUGAGACUGACGCCUUACUGUAAGGGAAGAGGAAUUUUCCUAUUGUUAUGUAACUUUGAAAUUUUCUCCUCUGCUCUUUUGCUUUCUUUCCUAACUUAUCAGCAUUACCUGUCCCUAAAGGAAUUUAUUCAGUUAUCCUCAAGAAAUAUAUGCCACAGUGUAAAUGUUUAGGUGGCCACAGAGAGAUGGAAUUUUGCAGAGAGAGCUAAACAGGGAGCUAACACAGUCACCCCCAGCGACCUACCUCACAUUUAUAGCAUCCACUGGCGGGACACAGGGCUCUGGCCCUCAGGUUUGGUGGAAGUGUUGUUUUCUUCUGGUGAUGGAAGAAUGGAAGUAGGGCAACUACACUGGGGCUGUUGCUGGGGGUAGCGGUGGUAGGGUGAUGGUGAUGAUGGUGAUGGUGGUGAUGAUGGUGAUGGUGGUGAUGAUGAUGAUGAUGGUGAUGGUGGUGAUGAUGGUGAUGGUGGUGAUGAUGAUGGUGAUGGUGAUGUGGUGGUGAUGAUGGUGAUGGUGAUGGUAGUGAUGAUGGUGAUGGUGGUGAUGAUGAUGUGGUGGUGAUGAUGGUGAUGGUGGUGAUGGUAGUGAUGAUGGUGAUGAUGGUGAUGGCACUGGUGGAGUUGUUAUGGUGACGGUGGUGAUUUUGGUGGCAGUGGUGGUGGUGAUAUUUGUGAUGGUGGUGAUGGUGAUGGUGUUAGUGGAGACUGUACUUGUUAUGAUGGUGACGUGGUGGUGGUGCUGGUGGUGCUGGUGAUGUGAUGGCAUCCACGUGUCUGUAUCUGUGCAUGUGUAUUGCAGAAAACAGUCUCAUCUUUAAUUACAAUACAUCUGGCAAUUCUCAGUCGUUCCUUCUGGCCCUGCAUAUAACAAUCUUGCCUUUCCUUUCUCUGUUGCUGGCUCCAUCACCACCCCAGCCCCAGCCCCAGCCCCAGCCCUUGUCUUGAAUCCUAGAAGCCAACGUUGAUCCUAUUCGCUCACAGGCGCCUGCUACCUCUGGGAGAGUCCCUGCCCGUUGCACCUCACAAGGCUCUUUCUUCCCCAUUCUCUUGCUGCCACGGUUGUUCUCACCUAAACUAGUGCCCAGGCGGUACAGCUCCCCACACACCUGCAUAUCACUGACAGUUUAAGCUUUCUAGCCCAGCAACUUGAUUCCUAUGGCUCCCAAGUUACCCACUGCAGAGACAGAUGAACUCAUCAGCGUGUUGUCAAGGGGUUUCACAAGGAACCCUCUACCUCCCAGGCCAAGCGUAGCCCCUGUGCGCUGGUCUUCUGCCUCUGGGUACUGGCCCAUGCUGUCUUCAUGCCCAGGAGCGCCUGCCUUUAGCAUCUCACGUCAGUAGGAGUCCUGUCCCCCACUGCAGACCUCACAGAGUGCCCCCAGCGGGCAUCUUUAGCGAGUCUUCUGGAUACUAUGCCAGGUGCUGGGGAAAUCAGAGUCGAUAAAACAUCGCCCCUGCUCUGAGUUUAUGCUCUAACAGAGAAGAAGCCUAGAGGAGCAGACCAUGCAAUGAAACUGAUUGUUUUAAGAAUUCAGAUUUUUGUGGAAGCCCAGAGAGAGGACACUUGACUCACACCUUUCCUGAGGGGUCGGGAGAGCAGGGAACUGGGUGAGUUGGUAGAGAGGAAGCUGUGCCUGGGCUGAGUCGAGGCGGAUAAGCAGAAUUUAGGUGAAGAUCACAGGGCAGGGCAUGAGUCAAAGAAGGGGGCGGGGCCGACAUAAGAAAUGUGAGAUGGAGCUGGUGACAGCACCGCAAAAAGGCUCCGGGCCAGCGGCUCAGUCCCAGGGGACAUCUUUGGACCGGCUGAACCUUGGCACAGUUGGUUGAAGAGAGGAAGAGAGAGGGAUUUUUCUCCUGGGUCUCGACGCUCAGGGAUCAAAGCUUAUCCCACGGGGACAUAACAUUUGCACAGGAAGAGUAGCCCCUCAGGGAAGCUGCUGGGAGGAAGCCAGCUCCCAGGACCUGCUGUGCUGUGCUUUGUCCAAGUCUAGACUUGAUGGCAAGAGCAGAGUCACCAGCAGUCUGCGGUGGCCUUGAACUUGAGCGCCAAGCUGCCAUGACUGGUGCUACGGUGAGCGCAGGGAAGUUGGCAGCCCGGCCCCAGCCUCGCCCCAGAGGAGCAAGCCAGCAGUGAGGCCGUGGCGGCUUUGGUGGUGGUCCUGGGGUCAGGGACACGAUCUACCACUUGGCUUUCUCGGCUAUAUUUGUGCCUUCCCAGGAUGCCCAGCUUCCACAGUGCACCACCUGGUCUCAGUAUCUGGAAAAUAAGGUUACUGAGGAAGGCGACUUCAGGAGCAGAGAAGGAUGAGCUGGGAGGCUACUGCAAUAGUCCUAGCAACAGAUGAUAAUCAUCUCGACUAGGAUCAGUGGUGGAGGUGGGAUGGAGCAGGAGAACUUAAGAAAUGGUUGAGAGAGCCGGCGCCGCGGCUCACUAGGCUAAUCCUCCACCUUGUGGCGCCGGCACACCAGGUUCUAGUCCCGGUCAGGGCGCCGGAUUCUGUCCCGGUUGCUCCUCUUCCAGGCCAGCUCUCUUCUGUGGCCAGGGAGUGCAGUGGAGGAUGGCCCAAGUGCUUGGGCCCUGCACCCCAUGGGAGACCAGGAGAAGCACCUGGCUCCUGCCAUUGGAUCAGCACGGCGCGCCGGCCACGGCAGCCAUUGGAGGGUGAACCAACGGCAAAGGAAGACCUUUCUCUCUGU